RNAcentral lists this unclassified non-coding RNA (438 nucleotides) under Pleurotus djamor. RNAcentral describes it as "sequence contains ITS1, 5.8S rRNA gene and ITS2". The stretch from base 238 to 391 matches the Rfam family "5.8S ribosomal RNA". Lineage: Eukaryota; Fungi; Basidiomycota; Agaricomycetes; Agaricales; Pleurotaceae. The record is from RNAcentral.
AAGCUUUUGAGUUGUUUUGCUGGUCUCUAGGGACAUUGUGCACGCUUCAUUAGUUUCCACUUCAUACCCCUGUGCACCUUUGAUAGAUUUCGGUUUGGGUUAUCCUUUGGUUUUUUUCCUCAUUUGAAAGGCCUUUGGUUUCCUUAAAACGACUUCUAUACUAUACCACACACCAAAUGUAUGUUUUAUAAUGAAUGGUUUAUAAUGACAAGGCCAUGAGCCUUAUAAACUUAAUACAACUUUCAACAACGGAUCUCUUGGCUCUCGCAUCGAUGAAGAACGCAGCGAAAUGCGAUAAGUAAUGUGAAUUGCAGAAUUCAGUGAAUCAUCUAAUCUUUGAACGCACCUUGCGCCCUUUGGUAUUCCGAAGGGCAUGCCUGUUUGAGUGUCAUUAAAUUCUCAAACUCUAUGACUUUAUUGUUGUAGCUGUUUGGAUUG